RNAcentral lists this ribosomal RNA (233 nucleotides) under uncultured fungus. RNAcentral's name for it is "partial 18S ribosomal RNA". It matches the Rfam family "Eukaryotic small subunit ribosomal RNA", at positions 40 to 274 of the family's 1831-position model. Lineage: Eukaryota; Fungi. The record is from RNAcentral.
AAGAUUAAGCCAUGCAUGUCUAAGUAUAAGCAAUUAUACAGUGAAACUGCGAAUGGCUCAUUAAAUCAGUUAUCGUUUAUUUGAUAGUACCUUUACUACUUGGAUAACCGUGGUAAUUCUAGAGCUAAUACAUGCAUAAAAUCCCGACUUUUUGGAAGGGAUGUAUUUAUUAGAUAAAAAUACAAUGCUUUUCGGAGCUCUUUGAUGAUUCAUAAUAACUUCUCGAAUCGCAU